Molecule: ribosomal RNA, 482 nt
Filed under: uncultured bacterium
Lineage: Bacteria
Description: partial 16S ribosomal RNA
Rfam family: Bacterial small subunit ribosomal RNA
Source: RNAcentral
AUUGAACGCUGGCGGCAUGCUUUACACAUGCAAGUCGAACGGUAACAGGCCGCAAGGUGCUGACGAGUGGCGAACGGGUGAGUAAUGCAUCGGAACGUGCCCAGUCGUGGGGGAUAACUACUCGAAAGAGUAGCUAAUACCGCAUACGAUCUAUGGAUGAAAGCGGGGGACCGUAAGGCCUCGCGCGAUUGGAGCGGCCGAUGUCAGAUUAGGUAGUUGGUGGGGUAAAGGCUCACCAAGCCAACGAUCUGUAGCUGGUCUGAGAGGACGACAAGCCACACUGGGACUGAGACACGGCCAAGACUCCUACGGGAGGCAGCAGUGGGGAAUGUUGGACAAUGGGCGCAAGCCUGAUCCAGCAAGGCCGCGUGCAGGAAGAAGGCCUUCGGGUUGUAAACUGCUUUUGUACGGAACGAAACGGCUCUGGUUAAUACCCGGGGCUAAUGACGGUACCGGAAGAAUAAGCACCGGCUAACUACGUG